GCCACUGUGGCUUAGGGGUAUAGCAUCCCAUUGGUAAUGGGAAGGUCGGGAGUUCAAUUCUCCCCAGUGGCUCCA
Molecule: transfer RNA, 75 nt
Filed under: Euryarchaeota archaeon TMED103
Lineage: Archaea; Methanobacteriati; Methanobacteriota
Also listed under: 12 other names
Description: tRNA-Thr
Rfam family: tRNA
About the family: Transfer RNA (tRNA) molecules are approximately 80 nucleotides in length. Their secondary structure includes four short double-helical elements and three loops (D, anti-codon, and T loops). Further hydrogen bonds mediate the characteristic L-shaped molecular structure. tRNAs have two regions of fundamental functional importance: the anti-codon, which is responsible for specific mRNA codon recognition, and the 3' end, to which the tRNAs corresponding amino acid is attached (by aminoacyl-tRNA synthetases). tRNAs cope with the degeneracy of the genetic code in two manners: having more than one tRNA (with a specific anti-codon) for a particular amino acid; and 'wobble' base-pairing, i.e. permitting non-standard base-pairing at the 3rd anti-codon position.
Source: RNAcentral